GUCCUGCGCGGUUGGUUACCAACGUGCUUGGGUUGGCAUUCCAAAAGAAGUUUCUUUCGGUUGCUCCUGGGAAAACUCAUGUUGCAAUUUCAGAGCGUUGAAGUGUGCUAAUAGUGGAGUCUGUUCCAUGUGCGUGGAAGGGAUGAUUGUGACACAUGGUCCUGUACAA
This is a long non-coding RNA of Manacus vitellinus (golden-collared manakin), 169 nucleotides long. RefSeq lists it as uncharacterized. The transcript has 2 exons. Lineage: Eukaryota; Metazoa; Chordata; Aves; Passeriformes; Pipridae. The record is from RefSeq and is a predicted model, not a curated record.